GAAAUCCGGUGUGUUGGAACCAAAGCCCAGAUGGGACGGGGUUUUUCUCUUUUUUCGAUUUCUUUUUCUCUAUCUUCCAUCUGAAGCGAUUUCUUCGAUUUCUUGUGCGAGCUCUAUUCGGUCGAGAUUUCGGAGCAGCCAGAAAUUCUAGAAUUUUUGACAGGAAAGGGACUUAUCCUAGCUGAUGGGGAGAUAUGGCGUGUUAGACAAAGUGCAAUAGUCCCAGCAUUGCAUCAGAAGGUAUCAAGAUGGCUUCAUACGUUCGCUUCUGUUUGGUUUGAUCUUUUUCCUUCAUGUAUUGGUGUUUGGUGUCUUUUUAACUCCAUUGGUUGAAAAUUGUUAGCUUGUGAAAUUCCCUGAGUUCGAACUAUUUUAGUUCCAGCUUAUUUUCAAAGAUAAGAUCGCUCUAUCUAAGUAUUGUGUUAUCCUUAUAAUCUCUGGUUAUACUUAUAGGAUGUAGCAGCAGUGAUUAGAUUGUUUGGACAAGCUAUGAAUAGACUGUGCCAAAAGCUCGAUGAGGCCGAUUCAAACAGAGAAGAGUUGUUCGGUUGAAGGCUUGCUAAUUGUUCCUUAAACCCAAUUGGGAUUCUUGAGUCUAAAUUUCUUGGGUUGGUUCUCCAUUAUUGGUAUUGCUAAAUAUGAUUCUUUUCCCUGUUUGGUUGCAAAGAAAAAUGCAAAAUGAAAGAGGAAAAAAAUAAUAUUACAUGCUCUUUGAUCUUUUUGCUUCUAUAUUUUUCAUUCAGUUU
Long non-coding RNA from Rhododendron vialii, 746 nucleotides. RefSeq lists it as uncharacterized. Lineage: Eukaryota; Viridiplantae; Streptophyta; Magnoliopsida; Ericales; Ericaceae. The transcript is spliced from 2 exons. The record is from RefSeq and is a predicted model, not a curated record.